This 320-nucleotide long non-coding RNA is filed under the name Nicotiana benthamiana. RNAcentral describes it as "long non-coding RNA (NBEN_LNC003531)". The record is from RNAcentral. Lineage: Eukaryota; Viridiplantae; Streptophyta; Magnoliopsida; Solanales; Solanaceae.
UGACUAGCCCAGCUAUGGAGCUCGGUCUACACCGCCACGUCGAGACUCUCUUUCGAAAGUGAGAUACCGGCUUUCAUAAGAGGGAAAGAUCACUCCGUCAUGCAGCAGAGCAGUGUUCAUCUAACUAGAAAUUUCAUAAGAGAAGUCGAGACUCUCUUUCGAAAGUGAGAUACCGGCUUUCAUAAGAGGGAAAGAUCACUCAGUCAUGCAGUAGAGCAGUGUUCAUCUUACUAGAAAUUUCAUAUGAGAAGAAGAAUCGAAGCGUAGGGUCGACAUAAACAAUCGGUUAAAAUAGUCUAAUGAGAAAGCAUUUGUUCAUG